UUGGGAUCCACCCCCAUCUCCCCACGAAGGGCUAACCUCCCCGUACCCACCUCACCUUAUCUGCAUCCCCUCCAUCCAAAUCACACAAACGAAAAUCCAUUUUUCCCCACCCGGCCACCUCUCUCCCCCUGAUUCCUCUGUCUCUCUCGCACCACAGCGUUGUCGCCGCCAACUCCGAUCCCAGGAAGCUCCAGCGGACUCCAACCCACUGCUCACGGUUCUGCCCCACUCCAUCUAUGUUCUCCUCUGUUCCUUCGCCUGAGGCCACCGCGCCCCUGCACGCGUGGCACGCAACAACCCUAGCCGCCACGCGUCGCCGGCGUGGCUCCGGCAGCUCCGGUUUAUCGACCCACUACCCCUGCGGCCCUGCCUCACCUCACGCGCGGCAGCACGCUCGAGCUUGACGUUGGUAUUCCGCCUCUUCUACCUCAACUCCGGUGUUGACGUUUCUGGUUCUGGUGUUUACACGCUCGAGCUUGACGUUGGUAUUCCGCCUCUUCUACCUCAACUCCGGUGUUGACGUUUCUGGUUCUGGUGUUUAUUUGAUUAGAUGUGAUUCACCAUGUGUUGAUCUGUACUAAUUCUGGAUGAGUACUCUGUUAUGCGUUAUGGUUAGAGUUUCCUCCUCCUAUUUAGAUGGAUCGAUGGAUAAUUAAGUAUUUUUUCAAGUGAAAUUAAUCAUUACAUACUAGCAUGUAGCAUGACCUGUUCAAAGAUCAGCGCAGUUUUUUCUUAUAAAAAGAGAUCAACUUAGUUCCAAUUGGAGUGAGAUAGUCGAUCAGCGAUAUAUCAUAUGUGACCAUGUAUGUCACUGAAGAACAUUACUACAAAAAUCAACAUGUCAGUGCAAUUAUGGGUCCAUGAUACUGGCAUGAUUAUUUCAAAUGGAGAAUCCCCAUCUCAAUAGGCUGAAUCGUUGUUUACUUGGUGUCACAUGUACAAUAUACUAAAUAAAUAAGUCCCACUCGCAUCGGUCUGUCCAAUUAUUUGUCUUUAUUCUAUAACCCUUUGCUCCAUCUACACUCACAGGUUCUGACAUUGUCUUUUACUAAGUGUGUGCUUCUGCUGUUUCUUAACAGAUCGAUGUACAACACUUAUGCAUUACAAUCAGGAGAAAUCCAUGCAGAAGAAGCCUGAAGAAUUAUUCAAGUUAUUUGUUUAUAGCAUGGUGAGGAUCCUUUCGCUAGUUCAUGUUACAGUAAGGAAAACAUGAAUUUGUAUCUUAUUCUUUUUUUUGGUUGAUGUAAUAUUUGUUUUCCCCUGGCAAAAAGUUAUAUUAGUUUCAGUUUCUUAUUCAGUUAAAAUGUGCACACUACAAUCUCGAAGUUUAUGCAAAAGCUCAGAUGGAAAUCAUUCUUACACUCAUGUUAUCCAAUAUAAAUUGUUAAAUAAUUGAAAAAAUUUGAAGGUGCGAUACAAGAACAUCAUACCUUGGUAUUCUCGUCACAUGUAUAUGACUCAUAUUGUUGAAAUCUCACCUCUAAAUCGAGUUUAGUGCUCUUUUUUGGAAAUAUAGGUACUUCUGAAUUCCUGCAAUCUCUGUACUAAUUUUGUAUUUCGUGGGGAGCCACAGAUAUUUCCAAAUACUAGAAUGAUGCAUGAUUGGUCAGCACACAAACUCUUGGCCAGGUUCCUCUCACAUCUUAUCUUGUUUGUAAUAUAUUCUUCUUAAACUGUUAACACGAUGAGCAUGUACUUGUUUCAUCCAAGAACGUAAACAUGAAAAGUAUUCCUCUUGUGCACUCUCCUUCCCUGACAUACAGGGCACACUACGGUGGUUGGAUGAUACAACCAUAAACAGACAGCUAAGCGAUCAGAUGCGGCGACUGUGCGAGUGUGUCAGGUAUGUCGAAUUCACUGAUCCCAAACUAUUGGAUCUGACUAGGAUCUCCUCUUCUCUGUAAUACUUAGGACCUUCUCCUCUACCUACUCGGGCCAACAGUUUCAGCAUCCAGCAACCAUGGUGACAAAGAUGAACGUACUGGAACUGCUCUAAGUUUCAACAUUCUCGGUAAACAAGUGAACUAAGAAAGCCAAUCCUACUUAGUAAAUGUUGGCAUAUACUAAUACGCUGGCACUACUUAGUUUGCAUGAAUGUUGUGGUCUUCUAAAUUGCUAGAAUAAUUUCAAGUAGUUUAGUAGGAGUCUCUGCUUGUUUAACUAGCCAAGUUUGAGUCUAAUUUGAUUAGGGUGAUUAGUUAGUUUUCCAACAUGUCUGGUUUGCAUGCCAUAAGCAUUUGUCUUCUUGGGUGGGUCGUAGUCCAUAUAUGAUUCAAUGAGUUUGCAUAGCUAGCUGCCUACAUGCUGUACUAUCAUAUCUUGUAGUUAGCAUGCUUUACUAGUCUAGGAAAGGGCGCUGGAGUCUGAGUCGUUUUAGAUGCUAUAAGUACGAGCAGCUUUAGAUUGUUUCGGCCAUGUAGCUGGUCAUAUCGUGUAACCAGGUCGUGCAAGUUUUUUUUCCAUAUUAGAACAAGGUCAUGUAAGAGUUUUGAUAUAAAAGAAGAAAGAGUACGUUAAAGUUUUUCAUGCACAUGUGUACAGCUAUUUUGAUGUUUGAUUCUGUGGGCAAAACCGAACAUAGAUUACUAAUACAUAUGCCAAAUCACCAGGUUACAGAGGCUCGAUUGUUCCAAGUCGAUGUUGUUGGCGCUAAAACAUAAAAGACUACUAGUGCCAAGCUGGAUUUACUAGGAGGUAUUUUCUGAUGGUAGUUCCAUAUUGCGUGAAUGAUUCUUCACCAGUUUGAAUGGAAAUUUUGGAGUAUUAAUAGCAUACUUGACUAUAUUUUAUUAUCUUGCACAUGUUUCUCUCUUUUUUCACAUAAUUUGUACAAGCGAACACUUUUCUUGCAUGUGAAAAUGGUCGUACUGCUUAUGUGAGAUAAGACUCUUUGCGGCUAGAUUAGGUAAAACAAUUCAUCAACUACUGUAUGCCUGCCUUACAAUCCCCAACCCCUAUAAAACACUUUGUUUCUAGUAACAUGGUGAAACUUAAUAAUGAAAUUAGCUGAGUUAGUUUACUGAGCUAAAAUGACUAUUAUUAGCUACAAAUGUGAUACUGGAUAAAUCCGAACAAGAACCCUGCUUUUACUUCAAUCCAAAGGAUCAACCCCGAAUAUAAAGCUAAAGUUGAUGUUGUUAAACUUGGUAAUGAAUUCAUGGUAUUGUGAGCUGAUGCUAUAUUAGCAGAAUCUUAUUAGUCUCUACAACUACAAAAAAGGUCAAAAUUAUUAGUCACGCAGCAAGAUUAAUUAUCACAUUUCUUCAACUUUCUAUGUUGCUCCUCCUUUCAAUUUUUCUGCCCUAUUAACCUAUUUAAUUUCUUUGUUGUAGAUUGCAAUAUUCGAUGACGCAUGGCUCAGAUGUUGGUUGCAAGGUCAAGAAUAGGGGUGCUACUAGAUAGUUUCACAUUAUGCCUUAGAAUGCCAUUUCCAGUGCCAAUGUUUCAAUCAUUAUGUUUCGGAUAUUUUUGGUGUCAAUAUUUCGAUCAUUAUGUUUCAGAAUGGCUGACACGUUGGCUGCAAGGUCAAGAAUGAGAUUACUACUAGUUUCACAUCUUGUAAUUUUUGUAUGGUGUACUUUGUAAUGCAACCAAGUUGAUUUAAUAUAUGAGAAAUUUCCGUUUAUUAUACUGUGUCCCUUGUGUAAUACCGAUAUUGUCUAAUUCUAGACGCUGAUGUAUAAAUAUCAUGUAUUUUUUAUGGAAUGCACUAGUAUUGUAGUACUCAUUUAUAAUCAUGUUCUGUUGGGUAGCCACCAACGCAUGUGAACCGUUGUUGGGCUCUAACUCUAUACGUUGCUAUCUUACAACACUUAUUCAGGCCGUUUACCAACGGAUGC
This 3839-nucleotide long non-coding RNA is filed under the name Triticum aestivum (bread wheat). Its description in RNAcentral is "long non-coding RNA (TAES_LNC018343)". The record is from RNAcentral. Lineage: Eukaryota; Viridiplantae; Streptophyta; Magnoliopsida; Poales; Poaceae.